UACGAAGGGGGCGAGCGUUGUUCGGAUUUACUGGGCGUAAAGGGCGCGCAGGCGGCGAUCUUUGUCAGGCGUGAAAGCCCCGGGCUCAACCUGGGAAUUGCAUUCGAGACUGCAUAGCUAGGGUGCGGAAGAGGGAAGCGGAAUUUCCGGUGUAGCGGUGAAAUGCGUAGAUAUCGGAAGGAACACCAGUGGCGAAAGCGGCUUCCUGGUCCAGCACCGACGUUCAGGCACGAAAGCGUGGGGAGCAAACAGG
RNAcentral lists this ribosomal RNA (253 nucleotides) under uncultured bacterium. RNAcentral describes it as "partial 16S ribosomal RNA". It matches the Rfam family "Bacterial small subunit ribosomal RNA", at positions 524 to 776 of the family's 1533-position model. The record is from RNAcentral.